AGAUUGAACGCUGGCGGCAGGCCUAACACAUGCAAGUCGAGCGGCAGCACGGGUACUUGUACCUGGUGGCGAGCGGCGGACGGGUGAGUAAUGCCUAGGAAUCUGCCUGGUAGUGGGGGAUAACGGCUCGGAAACGGACGCUAAUACCGCAUACGUCCUACGGGGGAAAGCAGGGGACCUUCGGGCCUUGCGCUAUCAGAUGAGCCUAGGUCGGAUUAGCUAGUUGGUGAGGUAAUGGCUCACCAAGGCGACGAUCCGUAACUGGUCUGAGAGGAUGAUCAGUCACACUGGAACUGAGACACGGUCCAGAACU
Molecule: ribosomal RNA, 313 nt
Filed under: uncultured soil bacterium
Lineage: Bacteria
Description: bacterial SSU rRNA
Rfam family: Bacterial small subunit ribosomal RNA
Source: RNAcentral